Long non-coding RNA from Halichondria panicea, 948 nucleotides. RefSeq lists it as uncharacterized. NCBI's taxonomy places the organism in Eukaryota, Metazoa, Porifera, Demospongiae, Suberitida, Halichondriidae. The transcript has 13 exons. The record is from RefSeq and is a predicted model, not a curated record.
AGCCAGUGUAUGCGCAUGCGCAGAGAGAAAGUUGCUUAGCUACGAAAUCCACCAAGAGACUGAAAAGGUGCUUCAGUUUGAUGUUCUCGUUCAGUUGCAGCUUUAAAGGAUGGAUGGAGUAAUUAUAUUAUUUAUGGAGCUGACUGCCAAGGCCAGCUAGCAAGAAAAGAGAGAGAGAGGAACUGCUAGAUGUCUCUGCAAUUAUUCUUUCACUGUCUCUAGGAGUCUAGCUCUAUAGGCUACAAGAUCUGGUUGCCUCUGACGCAGGUUGUUGACUUCUUCUACAACGUUUAAUAUAAGAAUACACAUCUAAAAAGGACCUCUACAACGACUACUAUAUAAAUGUACCUGUGUCUAUGUCAUCAUUACUGUACUGAUUGAGCUCGAGAUUGAGGUUCCUUGUCACACUACUUGAGAAUAUGUACAUAUAUAAAUUGGAAUGCUCAUGCCAUCAAUGAUUUCAACCCAUCAUGACCAGAAGCAUCGUGGACACACCUAUACUUUAGGAACUAUCAGAAUUUGGCAGUUAAGUUACUGGCUGUGGACAUGGCUGGUCUGUGACAGUACAAACAGUCAAACAAAAAAUGUAUAAUGUGACAGAGGACAUGGCUGGUCUGUGGACAGUACGAACAGUCGAACAACACAUUAUAUUGUGACAGAGGACAUGGCUGGUCUGUGGACAGUACGAACAGUCGAACAACACAUUAUAUUGUGACAGAGGACAUGGCUGGUCUGUGGACAGUACGAACAGUCGAACAACACAUUAUAUUGUGUGACAGAGGACAUGGCUGGUAGUACAAACAGUCAAACAGAAAAUUUAUAAAUUGACACACUCGAGCAGCACAAGCACUAGAAGAAACAUUCCUAUUAGUGUUGUAAACUGUCGAACUGUCUGGCUAUGUUUGUUUCUUAAAAAUUUUAACACUUCGUUGAAUUAUUCAUGCCAAA